AAUAUUGGACAAUGGGCGAAAGCCUGAUCCAGCCAUGCCGCGUGUGUGAAGAAGGUCUUCGGAUUGUAAAGCACUUUAAGUUGGGAGGAAGGGCUUUAGGUUAAUACCCUGAAGUUUUGACGUUACCAACAGAAUAAGCACCGGCUCACUUCUUGCCAGCAGCCGCGGUAAUACGAAGGGUGCAAGCGUUAAUCGGAAUUACUGGGCGUAAAGCGAGCGUAGGUGGUUCGUUAAGUUGGAAGUGAAAGCCCCGGGCUUAACCUGGGAAUUGCUUUUAAAACUGAAGAGCUAGAGUACGGUAGAGGGUAGUGGAAUUUCCUGUGUAGUGGUGACAUGCGUAGAUAUAGGAAGGAACAUCAGUGGCGAAGGCGACUACCUGGACUGACACUGACACUGAGGUGCGAAAGCGUGGGGAGCAAACAGG
This 424-nucleotide ribosomal RNA is filed under the name uncultured bacterium. Its description in RNAcentral is "partial 16S ribosomal RNA". It matches the Rfam family "Bacterial small subunit ribosomal RNA", at positions 360 to 776 of the family's 1533-position model. The record is from RNAcentral.